RNAcentral lists this ribosomal RNA (1352 nucleotides) under uncultured bacterium. Its description in RNAcentral is "bacterial SSU rRNA". It matches the Rfam family "Bacterial small subunit ribosomal RNA", at positions 28 to 1381 of the family's 1533-position model. The record is from RNAcentral.
AUUGAACGCUGGCGGCAUGCCUUACACAUGCAAGUCGAACGGCAGCACGGAGCUUGCUCUGGUGGCGAGUGGCGAACGGGUGAGUAAUAUAUCGGAACGUACCCUAGAGUGGGGGAUAACGUAGCGAAAGUUACGCUAAUACCGCAUACGAUCUAAGGAUGAAAGUGGGGGAUCGCAAGACCUCAUGCUCGUGGAGCGGCCGAUAUCUGAUUAGCUAGUUGGUAGGGUAAAAGCCUACCAAGGCAUCGAUCAGUAGCUGGUCUGAGAGGACGACCAGCCACACUGGAACUGAGACACGGUCCAGACUCCUACGGGAGGCAGCAGUGGGGAAUUUUGGACAAUGGGCGAAAGCCUGAUCCAGCAAUGCCGCGUGAGUGAAGAAGGCCUUCGGGUUGUAAAGCUCUUUUGUCAGGGAAGAAACGGUGGGAGCUAAUAUCUCUUGCUAAUGACGGUACCUGAAGAAUAAGCACCGGCUAACUACGUGCCAGCAGCCGCGGUAAUACGUAGGGUGCAAGCGUUAAUCGGAAUUACUGGGCGUAAAGCGUGCGCAGGCGGUUUUGUAGGUCUGAUGUGAAAUCCCCGGGCUCAACCUGGGAAUUGCAUUGGAGACUGCAAGGCUAGAAUCUGGCAGAGGGGGGUAGAAUUCCACGUGUAGCAGUGAAAUGCGUAGAUAUGUGGAGGAACACCGAUGGCGAAGGCAGCCCCCUGGGUCAAGAUUGACGCUCAUGCACGAAAGCGUGGGGAGCAAACAGGAUUAGAUACCCUGGUAGUCCACGCCCUAAACGAUGUCUACUAGUUGUCGGGUCUUAAUUGACUUGGUAACGCAGCUAACGCGUGAAGUAGACCGCCUGGGGAGUACGGUCGCAAGAUUAAAACUCAAAGGAAUUGACGGGGACCCGCACAAGCGGUGGAUGAUGUGGAUUAAUUCGAUGCAACGCGAAAAACCUUACCUACCCUUGACAUGGCUGGAAUCCUUGAGAGAUCAGGGAGUGCUCGAAAGAGAACCAGUACACAGGUGCUGCAUGGCUGUCGUCAGCUCGUGUCGUGAGAUGUUGGGUUAAGUCCCGCAACGAGCGCAACCCUUGUCAUUAGUUGCUACGAAAGGGCACUCUAAUGAGACUGCCGGUGACAAACCGGAGGAAGGUGGGGAUGACGUCAAGUCCUCAUGGCCCUUAUGGGUAGGGCUUCACACGUCAUACAAUGGUACAUACAGAGCGCCGCCAACCCGCGAGGGGGAGCUAAUCGCAGAAAGUGUAUCGUAGUCCGGAUUGUAGUCUGCAACCCGACUGUAUGAAGUUGGAAUCGCUAGUAAUCGCGGAUCAGCAUGUCGCGGUGAAUACGUUCCCGGGUCU